This 1242-nucleotide long non-coding RNA is filed under the name Sus scrofa (pig). Its description in RNAcentral is "lncRNA (ENSSSCG00070006577.1)". Lineage: Eukaryota; Metazoa; Chordata; Mammalia; Artiodactyla; Suidae. The record is from RNAcentral.
GUGUGUGUCCCCCUAGCAACGCACGACGAUGUUGUGGAGGCCGGUGGGAGUGAGAAGACCGAGGAGGAGGCCCAGGCUGUGACCAAGGAGGAGGAGGCGGGCCCGGCCCCUGAGAAGGGGGCAGAGGAGGCCGCAGCCGUUGGCGAGGCAGAGGAGGAGGCGGGCCCAGGCAGUGACAAUGACAAGACGUCCCCAGCCAGGGCUGGGGCUGAGCAGGAAGAUGAAUCUGCCCCCAAGGUGGACGGGACGGACGGUGAAAGCUCGUGGAGCACUGUGAGUCUGUGUGGCAGCGUCCACGAUGAAGAUGACACAGACUCGGUGGUGGAGAGCAGCAACAGCCACCAGGACGAGGAGGCUGCAGGUAGGGAAGAGCACGCAGCUGGGAUCCAGUGGGAGAGGGUUCCUGGGAGCACCUGGGUUGCACCUGCUGCCGGGCGAGGGAGGAAGGGGGAUGGGACUUGGCGGGUGGGUGGGUGGCCUAAUGAGUGGAAGCCUGGUGUGGCGUUUUCCCCUCUGAAAUUGAUCACACGAAGAAGACUUGGGUGCCUGGUCUUUGUUGUGCUGUGUGUGUCUUCCUGUCUCCUUCCUUGGAGAGGGAAAAUGGAUUUUCCCUCCCAAGGCUGCUCCUUCCAGCUCUUGGCUCUGGCCACUGUGCCAGCUUGCUUUGUGACUCGCACCCUGAGGGUCCUGUGCACAAGAGCUGUUGACUUAGUUUCCUUUAGUGACCUUGAUGGACCUGACGGGGUGGGACGCCAACCUCUCCUAGGCCCCCGACCCUGGAGACGAAGUUGGUCUAGUGAGUGUCAGGUGGUGGGUGAGAAGGCAGCUCUCUCCCUCUGCACGUUCAGGAUUUCUGGGCUCCCUGACCUGUUGUGUCCUCACGGUGUGUCCUCAGGGAAGCGGCACUACCAGAGUUGGAUGAGUUACAGGAGUUGUCCUCUGAGUUCCUGUUGUAGCUCAGCGGUUAAUGGAUGCACCUUGGAACCAUGAGAUUGCGGGUUCGAUCCCCGGCCUCACUCAGUGUGGUGAGGAUCCAGGGUUGUUGUGAGCUGUGGUGUUGGUCACAGAUGCGGCUGGAUCCCACGUUGCUGUGGCUGUGGUUUGGGCUGGCAGCUGCAGCUCCGAUUGGCUCCCUAGUCUCGGAACCUCCAUAUGCUGCAAGAGUGGCCCUAGAAAAGGGAAAAAGGCAAACAUGCAAUACUGUAAAAUAAAGGAGAUGUCGUGUGGGGUUGCUGCGUAGGA